UCCAUUACAAGAAUCCCAUGUUCAGGUUGCUGUCAUUUGCUGCAGGAAAACUGACAAAUAUCUAAAGAUCCGAAGUGGAGGGCAUGACUACGAAGGCAUUUCUUAUGUCUCCAACAUCAGUUUUGUUCUUCUUGAUAUGUCCGACCUGCGUUCAAUUGAUGUAAAUAUCCAAAAUGAAACAGCUUGGGUCCAAGCUGGCGCACUUCUAGGCGAACUUUAUUACAAAAUUUGGGAGAAAAGUAAAAUUCAUGCCUUCCCAGCCGGAGUUUGCCCAACUGUUGGUGUUGGUGGACACAUAACUGGAGGAGGAUACGGUAACCUGUUAAGAAAAUUUGGGCUGUCAGUUGAUAAUUUGAUUGAUGCGCGCAUAGUAGAUGUUCAUGGUAAAAUACUUAACAGAGAAUCAAUGGGAGAAGACCUGUUUUGGGCAAUCAGUGGCGGGGGUGGUGCUAGCUUUGGAGUGAUAUCGGCCUAUAAAAUUAGGCUGGUGAAAGUUCCUGAUGUUGUCACUGUUUUCCGGGUGGUGAGGACCGUUGAAGAAAAUGCAAUUGACAUUGUUUACAGGUGGCAAUUCAUUGCAGAUAAAAUAGAUAACAAUCUCUUUAUAAGGUUAACUCUAAAACCUGUUGAUGAGAAGCAAAAAGGAACUAAGACAAUUACAGUGACAUUUGUAGCAUUAUAUCUUGGAGAUUCCAGGGAGCUUCUAUCUAUCAUGGAUAGGUAUUUUCCUCAAUUGGGUUUACAUAUCAAGGAUUGCAAGGAGAUGAGUUGGAUAGAAUCUGAGCUUUUCUGGGCAAGUUUCCCAAAUGGAACACCGCCUGAUGCAUUGCUCAACCGAAAGCCAGGAGCGAAGUUUCUGAAGCGCAAGUCAGACUAUUUGCGGAAACCUAUUCCCAGGGAUAAGCUGAAAUCUAUAUUCGAUAAAAUGAUUGAAUUAGGAGACACAGAGUUGGUAUUUAAUCAAUAUGGUGGAAGGAUGAAUGAGAUCCCAGAAUGGGAAACUCCAUUUCCCCACAGAGCAGGAAAUAUAUUUAAAAUCCAGUAUGCAGCAAAUUGGGGGAAAGAAGGAAAGGAAGCAGAGAACUUCUAUUUGAACCAGACCAGAGUAUUGUACAAAUACAUGACUCCUUUUGUGUCAAAAUCCCCGAGAUGUGCAUUUUUAAACUAUAGAGACCUUGACAUAGGAGUUAACCAUAAUGGAAAUAACCGCUACAUAGAAGGCCGUGUUUAUGGACUGAAGUAUUUCAAGGACAAUUUUAAUAGAUUGGUCAAAGUCAAGACGCUGGUUGAUCCAGAUAACUUCUUCUGGAACGAACAGAGCAUCCCUCCUUUAGCAGCAUAAAGUACAAGUAUAGGGGCAAUAAAGGCAUGGUGAUGUCUGAGAAAACUUGAGGUGCCAUAUUUCCACAAAGCCAUUUCAUUUUGGCCCAUUUCUUUCUGUUGAAAGAUUAGUUUUAGAGACAACAUUCUAUGUAACUGGUAUUUGCAAAUUUCCUUUUAAGCUGAAUCAAGUUUGCUUCAAGGAACUAAGAAAUGCAAGCAACACAUACAUUUCUCAAACAUCUUAAUAAACCUCAAAUAGAAUCUGCAGUUCUCUACUUGACUAAAGUUCGUAGCUCUGGCUCAUAAGUAUAUAGCAGGAACUCAAGUGUGAUUAAGCUGGAUCGUGCAACUAGUUUCCUAGAAUGUAGUUAUGUAACUGCCUAUAAACAUACACGUCUUGUAUUUCAGUGAAACAUCUCUCGGAGUCCACUUUAGUUCAUUAACUACAGAACUAAAAUCUAAAUUGUAUAAUCCAUCUAUUACUCAAAAAAAAGAAAAUCAAAACUUGAGAACUGUUCGCCUGUUUCAUUUUUUGAGGAGUAAAUUUUCAUUAACAAAACAGUACCAAGAAGGUACUAAAACGGGUUACUCACCUGCAUGCAUUUGAAGUAUGCAUGUAGUCUAAUCAUAUAAAAUCACGAGAAUUACCAACAAAUCGAUGAUACAUGAGAGCAAAAGGAUUCUCCAAUGUAAGAUUUCAAAGUAGUUGCAUCAAGUAUAUCAAAUUACAGUAUAAAACUCAAGCAACUCAGAAUUUCCAACAAAUAGCAGAACUUUAAAUACCUUUGGCUCUGAAACAGACAACCUUGGAAUUAAUAUUAGCGGCUUACCUUUCACUGAUACAAGAGCAAUUCUGUAUAAGGUGUCUGAGGUCAAAUUUAUUCAACAACUUGACAUACAGUUGCUUGGCAGUUAGCAGCAACUAAUCACUGAGUAGAGAUUAAAUCUAAGGACCUGCAUUGCAGGUGACAGCAGAUUGGUCAAAAUGAAUAUAGCUAUGAAAUUUUCAGCUCAUACUUCUGCUUGAAUAAGAAUUUAGACAUUCUAAUUAGUUGGAUGUUUGAACUACACUAUCAACAAUGAUUUUGACACAGAAUACCAGGUAUCUAAGAUGUAUUAAGUCUGAGGGCCAGUUCAACUUGAUGGGAAAGGAAUAAAGGGCAAUCUUACCAUAUUUCACUAGCUCUGAAAAAGAAUUAGAUCAAGUUUGUACGAAAUGCGAGAGGAAACCUGAGUAUAGGUGCAUUUCAUCGAGAUAAUAAAACCAUCAAACAUCUAGCAGAAAAUUGAUGUGAAUCUCUUUACAUGUUCCUGUUGAAAUUUGCUGUGAGACAUUAGGGGUUUCUUUGCUCCAAUAUAUAAGUUAUGUGAGUAUCAGUAAUCCUACAAUUGAAGAAAACGGGGGCAAAAUAAUAUGAACCUCAUUUUUUUUUUAUAACGGUGGUGUCCGGGCCAACUUGCGCACACCUCGACUAAAUCCAUGGGAUACUUGCCACCUCCCACCGGCAACAGGUACCAGGUACCAGGUACCAGGUAACUCUGUCCACCGAGGCUAGAAUAGAUGGGAAGAAAACACCAGUGUUAGUGUUUGUCUCUGCUGGGAAUUGAACCUGAGACCUCAUGGUGCUCAUCCCAACUUCAUUGAACCACUAGGCCACACCCUUGGGUGCUAAUAUGAACCUCAUUAUGAACUACCAUCAAAAACUUCUUCCCACUGAUCCUCGGUUGAUGAGUGCAAUGACACCCGGUAAAGAAUCACAUAUAAUAAUGAAAUCUCUAGCAAUUACAAAACUAAUUCUAUUACCCCAACUACAUUACAACUUCUGAUUAGAUUCUAUAAGCAAUUCAUUUAGCAUUACAUGAACUGCAGCGUCAUAUACAACCCCGUGAUAAUGCAUCCUGAGACCUCAUGGUGCUCAUCCCAACUUCAUUGAACCACUAGGCCACACCCUUGGGUGCUAAUAUGAACCUCAUUAUGAACUACCAUCAAAAACUUCUUCCCACUGAUCCUCGGUUGAUGAGUGCAAUGACACCCGGUAAAGAAUCACAUAUAAUAAUGAAAUCUCUAGCAAUUACAAAACUAAUUCUAUUACCCCAACUACAUUACAACUUCUGAUUAGAUUCUAUAAGCAAUUCAUUUAGCAUUACAUGAACUGCAGCGUCAUAUACAACCCCGUGAUAAUGCAUUCCAUCAGCCGUACAACGAGCUCCACAUUUAUUACUCAACGCAUGAAUGUCCAGCAACACAAGGGGGCCACCAGAUUGAUGAAGCAGCUUACUGCUAUAAAGCUCAUCCGUAUAAGCUUGCCAUAACACAUCAGUCAUCUUCUCUCGCUUCUCAUUUGUAUUCAGCAUCGAGUUUAUCAGCUUUGGCAUUCCCAGCCAAAAGAAAUUGGGUGAACGAACUGACACUAAAUUCGUGCCAGCUCCAUCAUUAACAAAAUCUGAAGGUACUGAUAACAGCAAUACCACCAAAUCCCCCAACAACUUUAGGGAAACGCCAUAAUCAGUUGCAUUAUUUAUUUGUAACAUAUCCCAUAGCCCUGCUCCAAUCACAAAUACAUCAGGAUCACUCUUUUUCUCUUCAAACCCGAGAACCAAAUCACUCAAGUUACUCACAUAAGGUGCCCAAAUAAAAUCCAACUUCAUCCCAAUCUUAUCAAUAAGUAUGUUAUAAUCACUAUGCCUCUUAAACAAAUCCUCCCUAAUCAUCUCCAUUUCACUUUCCCCUAACAACAACCCCAACAAAGAAACUACAAAUAACCUUGCCUGUGAAUCCCCAGCAACAACAACCCAUGACCCAUUAAACAAAUCUGAAGCAUUAGACUUUGUCAACUUUUGGAAAUCACAUUGAACAACAGCAGGUUCAGUCUCAAUCCACUUCCAAGAUUUCUCACUAUUGUUCUCAUUAUUCAAUUCUUGAAAAUCAAAUGCUACAUGGUGAAGUAAGGAAAUGCAAGAAUUAAGAUUUACAAUAGAUGAUGAUGAUAAGGGUAAUGAACCUGAUGAAGAAAGGAAAAAAGGGGUCAAAUGAACACAAACAGCAAGGGUAAUAAAGAUGGCACAACUGAAAAAUAACAUUCUGUUGCGGCUCAAGUGCCAACCUGCCAUACCUACAGGCACAAAGAGUACAAGGAAGGCAGCCAAUACUCCCAAUUGAAUGACACCCCACAUUAUAUCUCUGAUGCUUACUGUUAAAGCAUCCUAAUUUUAGCAGCAAAUUAUAUGAAACAACAAAAAAAGAGCUCGUUUUUGUCUUCCCUUGGGGUUUAGAAAUAGAAAAAGAUUGGAUCUUUGACAGCAGAUUUUUCAAGAACUGGAGAGGUGGAUGACAAGAGACCUUCAAGAAUUGGAAUGUUGAAUAUAAUUGAAUGGUAUAACAAAUGUCCUAUUGCUGUUUUUGGGAAAGAAAUCGGAUAAAAUAUUUUGGAAGUUAAAAAGGGUAAUAAAUAUGGUAAGAAUACUAUCCGGAUAAUAGAUGUUUAAAAUUCAGAUAUAGGAAUUGAAAUUGCUCUUUUGUUAGAAAAUAAUUUACCUUCUUUUCGAACUUACUUCGCACCAAUAAGAGUGAGUACCGAAUAUGAUACAACAUGUAUUUGCCAUUUGGAGUUUAGGAAAGAAUAAAAUGGACGCAUAUAAAAUAAAGUAUAAAAACGUUUCACAUCAAAAAUAAAAAAAAGUACUAAAAAAUAAAAAUGCAUAGGCAAGCUAGCAUAAUAUAUACAUCACAGCUCAUGUAACCAAACAGACAAAAUGAAGAGAUUUUCAAUGCAAUCUUGGAAGUUCAGCCCAAUCAGAGAAUAUACCUUUGGAAGAUCAGAUUCUUGCAUGCAUUUAUAAAAAUAAAGCCCAGCAUGUGCCAAUUACCUAUCACCACCCGAUCAACAAAUUAAAUUUUGAAAAGAGAGAUAUCAAAGGAUGAAUUGCGUCUAUUGGAUUUCUGGGCAAG
This 5272-nucleotide long non-coding RNA is filed under the name Capsicum annuum. RNAcentral describes it as "long non-coding RNA (CANN_LNC003566)". Lineage: Eukaryota; Viridiplantae; Streptophyta; Magnoliopsida; Solanales; Solanaceae. The record is from RNAcentral.